RNAcentral lists this long non-coding RNA (223 nucleotides) under Elaeis guineensis (African oil palm). RNAcentral describes it as "long non-coding RNA (EGUI_LNC051709)". Lineage: Eukaryota; Viridiplantae; Streptophyta; Magnoliopsida; Arecales; Arecaceae. The record is from RNAcentral.
AUGUCAAUCAAAAAUAAUAGACCCAUUAUCACUCACCUUAAUGGGAGGCUAUGAUCUAGUUAUCAUCAUAACCAGCUCAUUUUGAGGACCUAAUAAUUUAGAAGAUUUAAUCAAUUUAGAGAAGAGAGAAGAGAAGAAAAGAUCAAUAAGUAGACCAUAAUCCUCCCACUAACUUUACUAAGUCACUGAAUCAGAUUAGGUCAUGCUGAUUGAACUGGCACCU